UACGGAGGGUGCAAGCGUUGUUCGGAAUCAUUGGGCGUAAAGCGCGUGUAGGCGGCCGGGUAAGUCUGAUGUGAAAGCCCGGGGCUCAACCCCGGAAGUGCAUUGGAUACUGCCUGGCUAGAGGGCGAGAGAGGAAAGUGGAAUUCCUGGUGUAGGGGUGAAAUCCGUAGAUAUCAGGAGGAACAUCAGUGGCGAAGGCGACUUUCUGGCUCGUUACUGACGCUGAGGCACGAAAGCUAGGGGAGCGUAAGGG
This 253-nucleotide ribosomal RNA is filed under the name uncultured bacterium. Its description in RNAcentral is "partial 16S ribosomal RNA". It matches the Rfam family "Bacterial small subunit ribosomal RNA", at positions 524 to 776 of the family's 1533-position model. The record is from RNAcentral.